UUUCGGAGAGUUUGAUUCUGGCUCAGAACGAACGCUGGCGGCGUGGAUAAGACAUGCAAGUCGAACGAGACUUAGCAAAGCUUGCUUUGCUAAGUCUAGUGGCGAACGGGUGAGUAACACGUGAGCAACCUGCCCAGAAGCAGGGGAUAAUCAGCCGAAAGGUUGUUGUAAUACCCCAACAGAUUGCAAGAGACAUCUCUUGUGGAUUAAAGCGGGGGCGCCUUUUAGGCACCUCGCGCUUCUGGAUGGGCUCGCGGCCUAUCAGCUAGUUGGUGAGGUAAUGGCUCACCAAGGCAACGACGGGUAACUGGUCUGAGAGGAUGAUCAGUCACACUGGAACUGAGACACGGUCCAGACACCUACGGGUGGCAGCAGUCGAGAAUCAUUCACAAUGGGCGAAAGCCUGAUGGUGCGACGCCGCGUGGAGGAUGACAGCCCUAGGGUUGUAAACUCCUGUCAUGAGAGAGUAAAGACUUACCGUUAAUACCGGUGGGUCCUGAUAGUAUCUCAAGAGGAAGGGACGGCUAACUUCGUGCCAGCAGCCGCGGUAAUACGAAGGUCCCAAGCGUUGUUCGGAAUUACUGGGCGUAAAGCGUGCGUAGGCGGCAUGGUAAGUCAGAUGUGAAAUCCCGGGGCUCAACCUCGGAACUGCAUCCGAUACUGCCAAGCUAGAGUAGUGGAGGGGAGUCUGGAAUU
RNAcentral lists this ribosomal RNA (696 nucleotides) under Verrucomicrobiaceae bacterium. RNAcentral describes it as "bacterial SSU rRNA". It matches the Rfam family "Bacterial small subunit ribosomal RNA", at positions 1 to 668 of the family's 1533-position model. Lineage: Bacteria; Pseudomonadati; Verrucomicrobiota; Verrucomicrobiia; Verrucomicrobiales; Verrucomicrobiaceae. The record is from RNAcentral.